Molecule: transfer RNA, 78 nt
Filed under: Pseudomonadota bacterium
Lineage: Bacteria; Pseudomonadati; Pseudomonadota
Also listed under: 1 other name
Description: tRNA-Pro
Rfam family: tRNA
About the family: Transfer RNA (tRNA) molecules are approximately 80 nucleotides in length. Their secondary structure includes four short double-helical elements and three loops (D, anti-codon, and T loops).
Source: RNAcentral
CGGGAUGUAGCGCAGUCUGGGUAGCGCGCUUGGUUCGGGACCAAGAAGUCGAGGGUUCAAAUCCCUCCAUCCCGACCA